GAUGAACGCUGGCGGCGUGCCUAAUACAUGCAAGUCGAGCGAACAGACGAGGAGCUUGCUCCUCUGACGUUAGCGGCGGACGGGUGAGUAACACGUGGAUAACCUACCUAUAAGACUGGGAUAACUUCGGGAAACCUGAGCUAAUACCGGAUAAUAUAUUGAACCUCAUGGUUCAAUAGUGAAAGACGGUUUUGCUGUCACUUAUAGAUGUAUCCGCGCCGCAUUAGCUAGUUGGUAAGGUAACGGCUUACCAAGGCGACGAUGCGUAGCCGACCUGAGAGGGUGAUCGGCCACACUGGAACUGAGACACGGUCCAGACUCCUACGGGAGGCAGCAGUAGGGAAUCUUCCGCAAUGGGCGAAAGCCUGACGGAGCAACGCCGCGUGAGUGAUGAAGGUCUUCGGAUCGUAAAACUCUGUUAUUAGGGAAGAACAAAUGUGUAAGUAACUAUGCACGUCUUGACGGUACCUAAUCAGAAAGCCACGGCUAACUACGUG
Molecule: ribosomal RNA, 497 nt
Filed under: uncultured bacterium
Lineage: Bacteria
Description: partial 16S ribosomal RNA
Rfam family: Bacterial small subunit ribosomal RNA
Source: RNAcentral